UUUUGGCCAUGGCGAGGGAGAGCCCUGGGAGAAGUGAGGUCGAAUAGAGACUGAAGAACAAACUGCCUCUGCUUCUACUGCCAAUGUCAGUGUUCCCAAGCUGUCGCACAAAAACACAACCUGUUGCUGCUUCAGCCCACAGUCAAGGUGGGCUCCUUCCAGAGUUUUCCACUCUGCAAUGUUGAAGUAUGUGCUGAAGACGCAAUACUUCUCCUACAUAAGUAUGAGGGAAAGAGGACAACAUGCUGUUUUGGAACACAAUGAGAAUAUUGUGAAGAGGAAGCCUGCCACUAACAGCA
Long non-coding RNA from Lampris incognitus (smalleye Pacific opah), 299 nucleotides. RefSeq lists it as uncharacterized. The record is from RefSeq and is a predicted model, not a curated record. Lineage: Eukaryota; Metazoa; Chordata; Actinopteri; Lampriformes; Lampridae. The transcript has 3 exons.